AGUGAACGCUGGCGGUAGGCCUAACACAUGCAAGUCGAACGGCAGCACAGUAAGAGCUUGCUCUUACGGGUGGCGAGUGGCGGACGGGUGAGGAAUACAUCGGAAUCUACUUUUUCGUGGGGGAUCACGUAGGGAAACUUACGCUAAUACAGCAUACGACCUACGGGUGAAAGCAGGGGAUCUUCGGACCUUGCGCGAUUGAAUGAGCCGAUGUCGGAUUAGCUAGUUGGCGGGGUAAAGGCCCACCAAGGCGACGAUCCGUAGCUGGUCUGAGAGGAUGAUCAGCCACACUGGAACUGAGACACGGUCCAGACUCCUACGGGAGGCAGCAGUGGGGAAUAUUGGACAAUGGGCGCAAGCCUGAUCCAGCCAUACCGCGUGGGUGAAGAAGGCCUUCGGGUUGUAAAGCCCUUUUGUUGGGAAAGAAAAGCAGCAGGUUAAUACCCCGCUGUUCUGACGGUACCCAAAGAAUAAGCACCGGCUAACUUCGUG
This 492-nucleotide ribosomal RNA is filed under the name uncultured bacterium. RNAcentral's name for it is "partial 16S ribosomal RNA". It matches the Rfam family "Bacterial small subunit ribosomal RNA", at positions 29 to 507 of the family's 1533-position model. The record is from RNAcentral.